GUUCACACCAAUACCAGGGACAGACGCUCAACCAGUCUCUCCUGCCUGGCCCCACCCUUGGCGCCUCCCUUCUGGGCGUCCUUGUGAGGUUCCGUGAACACCCUGUGGCAGUCAGCGGAGACAUCAAGGGGAUGUUUCAUCAGGUCCGCCUCCUCCCUGAGGAUUGUCACCUCCUAAGAUUCCUGUGGCACGACCUGAAGGCAUUCUGACCGAUGCCCCAUGUUGGAUGGCGCUUAACACCUAAAAUGAAUCAUCUAUCCUUGCACCUCCCCAACACUUGGAAGUCAUCAUCUUAAUGACAGAGACAUGUAGAGGCGUGCAGUUGGUGAACCAACCUGUGGACGGAAAAUGUCUGAUUUAAGUGAGUUUCUACGUGGGCGAGGGGUGCCAGAAGACACCAUUUCAAUAAUGGAAGAGCAGAAGAUUGACAGUGAUGUCAUAGCACUGAUGGAUGACGCAGCUCUGGCAAAUUACAUCCCCUCCUAUGGAGACUGAAUUGCCAUCUUCAAUUUCUGCAAAAGCAAGCAACCACUCUCACAAAGAAAAAAAGAACAGAAACAGAAAAAAAGUGACAGAAACGGUGCCUGCAAUGUCAGAGUUAGAUGACUUAAUUCGAUUGUACUUCAGACUGUCUUUCAGUAACAAAGAAAUACUUGCAAUUUUAGCUCAUAAUAAUCAGACACUUAUAAGUGUUCGUACCCUAAAGAGAAUUUGUAAAAGACUAGGGCUCUUCAGAAGAAAGAAUCCACAAGGUGUGGAAUUAAGACGAGCUCGACGCUUGAGAAGACGUCAGUACAGCUGCAGAGGACCAAAUUCGCUUUGGCACAUGGACGGCUAUGACAAAUUAAAACCCUAUGGCAUUGCCAUCAAUGGAUGCAUAGACGGUUUUAGCCGCUAUGUUUUAUGGCUGGAGGCCUAUAUCACAAACAAUGACCCUAAAUUGGUUGCAAGUUACUUUUUGAAAACAGUUUCAUGCAUGAAUGGAUGUCCAGAGAGAGUAUGUGCUGAUAGGGGCAAAGAAAAUGGUUGUGUAGAACAAAUGCAAAUGUUUUUGCGUAGAAAUCACACAGACAGUUUUGCAGGGCAGAGAAGUUUCUUAUAUCAAACAACCAGCGCAUUGAAGGAUGGUGGGCUACCCUCCGCAAGCAGAGUGCACAGUUCUGGAUGAACUUAUUUAAAACGUUUCAGGAUGAUGGUCAUUUCACAGGAGACUUUUUGGACAAAAGUCUUAUCCAGUUCUGCUUUCUUAAUCUUGUUCAGGAUGAGCUUGAUGAAGUUGUGAACACAUGGAACUC
This is a long non-coding RNA of Pygocentrus nattereri (red-bellied piranha), 1295 nucleotides long. RefSeq lists it as uncharacterized. The record is from RefSeq and is a predicted model, not a curated record. The transcript is spliced from 4 exons. NCBI's taxonomy places the organism in Eukaryota, Metazoa, Chordata, Actinopteri, Characiformes, Serrasalmidae.